RNAcentral lists this ribosomal RNA (253 nucleotides) under uncultured bacterium. RNAcentral's name for it is "partial 16S ribosomal RNA". It matches the Rfam family "Bacterial small subunit ribosomal RNA", at positions 524 to 776 of the family's 1533-position model. The record is from RNAcentral.
UACGGAGAGUGCAAACGUUGUUCGGAUUCACUGGGCGUAAAGGGCACGUAGGCGGCUCGGCAAAUCGGUCGUGGAAUCCCGACGCUUACCGUCGGAACGGCGGCCGAAAAUACCGGGCUCGAGGGCGUGAGGGGUCACUGGAACUCCUGGUGAAGCGGUGAGAUGCGUAGAUAUCAGGAGGAACGCCGGAGGCGAAAGCGAGUGACUGGCGCGUUCCUGACGCUGAGGUGCGAAAGCUAGGGGAGCAAACAGG